UACGUAGGGGGGCAAGCGUUGUCCGGAAUCAUUGGGCGUAAAGAGCGUGUAGGCGGCCUGGUAAGUCCGCUGUGAAAGUCCAGGGCUCAACCCUGGAAUGCCGGUGGAAACUGUCAGGCUCGAGUCCGGAAGAGGCGGGUGGAAUUCCGGGUGUAGCGGUGGAAUGCGUAGAGAUCCGGAAGAACACCAGUGGCGAAGGCGGCCCGCUGGGCAGUGGCUGACGCUGAGGCGCGACAGCGUGGGGAGCAAACAGG
RNAcentral lists this ribosomal RNA (254 nucleotides) under uncultured bacterium. RNAcentral describes it as "partial 16S ribosomal RNA". It matches the Rfam family "Bacterial small subunit ribosomal RNA", at positions 524 to 776 of the family's 1533-position model. The record is from RNAcentral.